AUGAGAUCAAACUUCCACGAACCGCAUGGGCUGCCGUCCCAAGUCAACAGAUGCGAAGAGAAGAAAGAAACCGUCGCUGAUCUAACCUUACGGGAAAGAAACAGAUCCGAAACUCACAGCGCAGCUACUGAACAGAAACUGAAGAAAGAUGCCCACUCACCGCUCCACGAUUUCGCAAACUGUGAUGUUUUCCGCCUUCUCUGGUGCAACCUUGGGCGAGGGAAGUGCAGGAGAGAGGCCUUGCCGGUCGGUGGAGGGAGGAAUCUAGCAGGGGAGGAAGUGCGAUGUGGGGGAGGAAGAAGAUGCCGAGUGGAGGCCACGACCCCGGACUGA
This 333-nucleotide ribosomal RNA is filed under the name Triticum aestivum (bread wheat). Its description in RNAcentral is "partial small subunit ribosomal RNA". Lineage: Eukaryota; Viridiplantae; Streptophyta; Magnoliopsida; Poales; Poaceae. The record is from RNAcentral.